RNAcentral lists this microRNA (21 nucleotides) under Xenopus tropicalis (tropical clawed frog). RNAcentral's name for it is "xtr-miR-449c-3p". Its record names the gene xtr-miR-449c-3p. Lineage: Eukaryota; Metazoa; Chordata; Amphibia; Anura; Pipidae. The record is from miRBase by way of RNAcentral.
AGCUGCUAGCUGCACUCCACA